UUAUUUUCAUUAAUUGUUGAUUGACGGGCGUUGUUUGAUGUGCAGGUAUCUUCGAAAUCGUGAUGAUUGACAUUGCAAAUGCUAUCGUAACAGGAGUCAUAUGGAAGAAAUUGAUAAUUUUCUUUUGUUUCUUUUGAAUUAUGCUGUUAAAAUUAUUUGAUUUGCAUGUCCCAUGAGGGUGCCACGGUUGCUGCUGAUUGGUGCGACAAUCGAUAUUGGUUUUUUUUCGAGCUUUGAGAUGAUGAUAUAAUAAAUUCAAGCGAAGGUAUGUAAUUUUUUUUUUAUUGGGAGUUUUUUUUUAUUUUGUGUAUUGCAUUUGUUGAUGGUGAAUCUGUUGAUUUUGUUGGUUGAAGGGCCCUAAUCGACUUAAAUUUUUUGAUACUCUUAAUAAAGCUUACGAGAAUUAUAGGUUAAUUAAGGUACAUAUCCACUCCACUACUUUUUAAUUCGCUGAUCACGGUUAAUCCAAUUUUAAGUUUCUUUGAAGUCUCAUUCAGAGUCUUUUAAAUUACUCUAGCUUGGAAGUCUAAGUUUGGUGAUUAUAUCCGGUGUGGUUCCAAAGACUGUUAUUCGGGUAAGUAAAUCUGCUAAUUUAGAAUUUAGGAUAGAUAUAUUGAUAAAUGAAGGCCUGAAUUUCUUAUGUGUUUGCCUCGCUCAAACCCUACUUCAUCAUCCUCUUCCGAAAUUCGAGAUUCUGAAACAGAAAUUCCGUGUUUCAAACCCUACUUCAUUAUAACACCCUAUGUGUGUUUAGUUUCUCCUUCUACGUGUUUCUCUAAUUCUAUUCGAAUCUCUUUAUUAAGAAAUCGAAAGUCUGGAAUUCGAAUUGGUAUACUAUCUCUUUCAGACGUAGAUCUAAUUUGGGUUUUGCGCAUAUGGAUAGUUACAAAAGAUUGAUUUUGAUUUUGUGUAACUCGGUUUCAAAGGUUUGUGAAGAUUUGGAGUUUCUGCUGCCAUAGAGAAGAAGAUGUACAGAGAGAACUUGAUUUACCAGCUCGGGGUGAUUUUUUUUAUUGUGCUCGAGGAUUGCUUGGGCGGGGGGAAGAACGAAUCGAAAGAGAUGCACAUGUUAAGAAGAUAAUGUUGCUGCCAUAGUAUUUAUUCGCAUUUCCAUUGUAUUUCAGUAGUUAAUAAUUUUAUUCGCACUUACACCAUUCUCACUGGACCCAAGUACCUGAUUGGAGAUUAACUUUGGAGAUACCACAUCGGCAUUACUUUGAUGUUCAUGCUCAUGAAAUGAAAAUGUGAAGAAAGAAAAUGCUCACGGAUGGCAUGGCAGAAGCGCCGUGUUUGAAAUAAAAUGAAGUGGCAAGCUCCAAAUACAUGUUAAGAUCCUCCAGAGACAAAAAAAAAAAUGCAAGGCUUGAGCGUAGUAAUCAUUUUCAAGGAAAAAACUUUUGGACAAGCUGGACACAUGUGAACUGAAUGUUCAUCUCAGAGAACCAUGCUGUGGUUGUGCCUCACAACCAUGGUUGAUGGAAGCUAAAUAUCACAACUCAAUGAGGUGAUCUUGAUUGGAAAAAUGGGGUUUAUGAACGUGCUAACCAACAAGUUGCGCAAUUAUUUCGUAAUUCCCACCCUGCCCAAAC
This is a long non-coding RNA of Papaver somniferum (opium poppy), 1589 nucleotides long. RefSeq lists it as uncharacterized. The transcript is spliced from 6 exons. NCBI's taxonomy places the organism in Eukaryota, Viridiplantae, Streptophyta, Magnoliopsida, Ranunculales, Papaveraceae. The record is from RefSeq and is a predicted model, not a curated record.